AGCCUUGAGAGGAUAACUAUAAUCCAGCAAGGAAGGUGUUAAUUUUCUCAACCAGCCAUUAGGAGGAGCUCCAAGGUUAGUCAUUUGGCAGUCCUUGGAGGGCUGGGAGAGAAGAAUUGUUUGCCUCGUCUUUGUGAUGAGUUUUGUGAGCCUCGGGAUCCUUCGAUUGACCAGAUGGAGAUCGCUACAACCCAAAUGUGCUGGGAUCUGUUUCCAGCAGAGGAAAGCCACUGCUGGCUCUACAGCGGCUGGCGCGCCAAGUCUCAAGGAUUUCCAAGAACUCCCUGGUUUCGGGUUUGGGGGCUUCGUUUACUGGUCCCUGCUCCGGGGUUAUAUCCUUCAUUCCCACGAGUUACAGGUAAUAUAUAAGAAGCUAUAUGGACCCAUAUGGAAAUCUGCAAUAGGCAGAGAGACUUCUGUGUGCAUUGCUUCCCCUGAAAUCAUGGAGAAGAUGAUGCGACAAGAGGGGAAAUACCCUAUGAGGUAUGACAUGGCUGAAUGGAAGGAGCACCGGACCUUGAGGGGCCUAGCUUGUGGGCCUCUGACAGAGGAAGGGGAGCGCUGGUAUCACUUACGUCAGGUGCUGAACAAGAGGAUGCUGAAACCUGCAGAGGCUGUGCUGUAUGCAGAUGUCAUCAAUGAGGUGGUCUCCGACCUGAUGGUGCAUUUGAACAACGAGAGGGAGAAGAGUCCUUCUGGGGUAGUAGUCAAGGAUGUUGCCAACCAGCUCUAUCGAUUUGCCCUGGAAGGCAUUUCGAGCAUUCUGUUUGAGACCCGCCUCGGCUGCCUGCGAAAGCAGAUACCUGCAAAAACCCAAGAUUUUAUAAAUUCCAUUGGCCGCAUGUUUAAGAAUUUCGUUUUUGUCAAUGCCCUGCCCAAGUGGACCCGGGAGGUGCUGCCUUUCUGGAACCGCUAUCUGGAGAGCUGGGAUACCAUCUUUGCUUUUGGGCAAAAAUUAAUUGAUAAACGGAUGGAAGAAAUCACAGCUCAGCUAAAAGAUGGAGAAAAUCCUAAAGGCGAAUAUCUAACCUACCUACUGUCUAAUGAGAAAUUAAGCAUUGAGGAAGUAUCUGGCAGUGUGGCUGAGUUACUCAUAGCUGGCGUGGACACAACUUCCAACACAUUAGCCUGGACUCUCUACCACCUUGCUAAGGACAAUGAGAUUCAGAAUGCCUUAUUCCAAGAAGUUAUGGGUGUGGUUCCCAAAGGCCAGAUCCCUACAACUGAAGAUGUGGCCAGGAUGCCCCUGCUGAAGGCUGUCAUCAAAGAAACUCUGAGGCUGUAUCCUGUGGUGCCUAUCAAUUCCCGAGUGGCAGUGAAUGAUGUCAUCAUAGAAGGUUACCAUUUCCCCAAAGGGACAUUGUUCUCUUUCUGCUAUUUUGCCCUUUCUCGUGAUGAGACCAACUUCCUGGAUCCCAACAAAUUUGUGCCACGGCGCUGGCUGCGAGAACAGCGUACUUUGGCCCAUCACCCCUUCAGUUCCCUCCCUUUUGGUUAUGGAGUCAGGGGCUGUGUGGGACGUCGCAUUGCUGAAUUAGAGAUGCAUUUGGCUCUUGCCAGGAUUGUCCAGAAAUAUGAAAUAAGACCGGACCCACAAGGAGGUAAAGUUCAACCCUUAGCCCGUGUGACCUUGGUGGCAGACAGACCCAUCAACCUUCAGUUCCUGGACAGAUGGAUGGAUGAUUCUUCACAUGCCUUUAGAUAAGCAGCAAUAAAGGUCUUUUCUACAGCCAUAAGCUUGAAUUCCCAUCGUGCAUAUUCUAUUCCCAGUCUAGUGACUUUGUACCUUGAAUUUAUAACAGUGGAAGUAACUUUUCACAAAUUGUGUUCUAGCUCUGCUGAGAGCUUUGGGGAAAAAUAAAAGGACAGGAUAAGGGUUUUAAAAUAAAUUGCAUACCUACUGUAAGCUUCAUUUUAAGAAACUGAACAAACUGCAAUCUUUGGACUUUGCCAUCAUGGUCUGAAAAAAAUCAUUUUUCUCCCAUCUUUUUGUGCUUAACAUUCAGCCUGAUAAACAGUUCCAGGGAAUCAAGAGCUGCACUCACUCUUGGUUGCUGCAUACAUGUAUGUUCAUCCCUUGAUGGCUUCAGCAUGGUUGCUGAACAAGCUUUUCUAGAUCAGAUAUCACUCCCAAAUAAUCAUUUUGAUAUAUAUUCUCAUACUGAGAUGAAUUUGUGUGUUUAUCAGUACUUUAAAGUCAUAUUAUUCCAAAUGUUUGGAACCUAACAGGAAAAAUCCUCCAGCACACUGAAACACCCUUUUGAACAUAUCAGCCAAUGUUUCAGUUCAACAGCUAAAAGUGUAUACAUCCCACCAAAAUUCAUACCAGAAUGAUUCAAAUAUAUACAUAGCUGCAUAUAAAUUAAUUGGGAAAUCCUGCUACAUCAUAGGUGAGUGGUGAGUGGUAAGCAGGAUGUUUAUCUGGCCUACUAAGCCAACACUUCAUGAGGUCAUGUGUCUAGGGAUGACUCUCUUUAUACCAGUAGUGGCAUGAGGACUGAUGUGCUGAUGAUUCUACUCUCAUCGUUGCACACCAGUGGCAGUGAUGGAUAGCUGUGCUAUUGGGCUGGGGAACGAACAGCAGAGUCCACUUUGUUCCUAUUGUACUAGGGGGUUCUUCUAGCUAGCCCAUCAAAACCUAAGGGGGUGGUGAAAAUAUAUGCUAGGGCAAGGGUCUCUAACCUUGAUGAACCUUUGGGGCCCUUUUGACAUGUUGAGAAAGAUUAAUGGAUAUUACAACAAUAUGGCUGCUGAAGAGGACAGUAACAAAAAGUCAGGAAGGUCUAAGCUAAGCAGCUUCCUAUUAUGGCCGCAGCCAUUGCCAAAUAGGUGUGCUCCAGGCAGACCUAAAAGUGGUGCCUCCUGAGGUCUUCUGAAGUGCCCCUUGCUGAAAAACCCACAGUUGGCUGUUUGCUUUAGGGAACAGUGGAAGAAGCAAGUGGGCACAAAGCAAAACACCAGUUCCAGUUUCUAUCUUGGUGAAAGCAGCAGCUACAUCUAAAACCAACCCUCAUUUGUUGUUAGAAAAGAUGGAUUAAAUAUGCACCACUACGUUCACCCAUUUAAGUACUAUGGAUAUUUGCCAUAUAUGUUUCUGGUUUUAUUUAUGCAUUUUUAUACUGCCAGUAAAUGAGUUACAGGCAAGCCUGUCCUUACUUCUCUGUUAUAUUACUGCAAGUUACCACCUGCCUCGUCUAGAUACAGUAAGAGUCUUUUGCCUUUCAUUGCUGGGCACACUGCGCUUGGCUUUCGGGGGAGUAAAGCUGAACAUUAUGUCGUAAGUCACCAGGUAGCCGCUGUUGUACAUGUAUAACUUUUGAUCAUUGGGAUUGUAGUUCACACUUUGUGCUACAUCUGCGAGUUUCUCCAUGGUAAUUUCUAAAUUGGUUUCUUUGCUUGUUUCGGUGUUGUACAUAUAAAAUAUUAAUUCCUUAUGUGCACUCACUCGCUUGAGGGCAUACAGUAUCCCACAGAUCAUGAACGUGUUGGUUACUUCAGGCUUGUUCAAGGAAGUUUCCCAAGUCUUUGUUACCUCCAUAGUCUUAGGAUCUAAUUUCCCAAUGAUUAUCUUCCCCUUACUUUUCUCUGUGGAAUACGUUAUCCACAGGCCCUUCUCAUCACCAGCAAAAUCAAAGUCCUGCCAACCGAUACCAUUGUAGGAGAACCAGUUGUUGAAAACAGCAAGGCCCAGUUUCUGGCGUUUAAUAUGAUUGUUUGACAGCUUCUGUUUGCACAGGUUCCUGGAAUUGUAGCAGUUGUAAUACAAGGUGCCGUUGUACAAGACCAUCCCACUCCCCUGUCCACAGUUGAUAAAGUUCCAGGGAACUCAGCCCAAAGGUCGAUGCUUCCAUCAGCAGCAGUGGCAUUACCUAAAAUCCCUUUUUGUUUUAUCGCCAAAGGAAGAAGGGCCAUCAAUCUUCUUAUGCAUUUGACUUCUAAUCAGAACUUCUUUCACCUCGACCACCAUACUUUCAUUUCUUUGAGCAAUAUACUCACCAAGGAGGUUACAAUGAAGUAGAGUCGCAGCAAAGGCAUAGCCAUUGUUUCUGGAGUUUGCCACAUCUACAUGGGGGGCUUUUUUUGAACCCACUUUAUAACUGGGAAGGCUCUGGGGGAAGGAGCAGAAUGUUCCAGAGUGGAAUUUCCCUAAAGAUGGGAAUUGGACUGGAUGUUAUGAACUUUCCAAAAUUAGUUUCAUUUGCACAUUUAUGAGCCUCUCAGAGGAGGUGUUCCUAUCUAAUCAGAUAAAAUUAAACCACAAGCAAGUCGGCUACAAGUAGUCAUCUUGUGCUUUCUGCCUCCUCUGCUUCUCUUCAGAUCACAAUGAGAGUUAAUUAAGAAUCACAGAAUGAUUUUUUGGGUGUCACAGUCUACCAUGAUCCUGUCCUCCUCGCCAGGCUUUGGGUCACAAAACACGAGCCUGAGAAGAAAAAUAUAUUAAUCACUAGCGGCCCAGUGCACAAUAUUUUUGGGCAGUUGUCCACAAACGUUACAGUAUUGAAGAAACUCAGGCAAAGUUGUCCCACUAGAUUCUUUUACUAGUUCAUCUCUUUGUGGGGAAUAUAUAACUUGCUUUAUAAUUUUGAAUCCUAUGAAUGAUCUAUUGUGACCAAGUGUAAGAGCAACUUGUUCCUCCAAUCUCUAGGAGAAGCUGGGGUGUUUGGAAUGACCAGCCCCUCUGCCAGUUACAAAGAAACUUUGUCAUGCUCCCAACCCCUUUGUCUAGAGUAGCGUUUCAACUUUCAAGAAUAGCCUAAGAGGGGAAAGCAAAUCAUUAAACAAAUUGAUAAAUAUGCCAGUUUUUUAAUAGCCUGACUGGAACAAACACUGGGGGUGGUGUGGUGGAGGGGGACACAAAAUCCCACCCUGAGCAGUCAGAGCUAUUUAAUGUUGAACUAUUAAACAAAGUUAACAAA
This is an RNA transcript of Sphaerodactylus townsendi, 4916 nucleotides long. It is a transcript of the gene named sterol 26-hydroxylase, mitochondrial-like, with no coding region annotated. Lineage: Eukaryota; Metazoa; Chordata; Lepidosauria; Squamata; Sphaerodactylidae. The transcript is spliced from 11 exons. The record is from RefSeq and is a predicted model, not a curated record.